UAGCAAGAUUAGCGCGAGUGUAGCAG
This 26-nucleotide unclassified non-coding RNA is filed under the name Mus musculus (house mouse). RNAcentral describes it as "oocyte_clustered_small_RNA5037". Lineage: Eukaryota; Metazoa; Chordata; Mammalia; Rodentia; Muridae. The record is from RNAcentral.